GGAAGCAGGCGCUCUUUGAGAUCCGCCAUCAAUAAUAACAAGCUCUAAUUGCUCAAAUUCCGACGAAGAAAUCAGGGUGGGUCCUCCUAGAAGAAGCAGGAGCAGCAGCAAAAUAGGGAAAUCGAAUAACAGCAGUCAAAUGCCGUGUCCGAUUAUGCAAAAACUGUACCUGUAAGAGGAAUUGGAGCGGUGUAAAGAAAAUUGGCAUUACAAUAGAUUGGCUGAGAAGUGAAGGAAGACAGAGAAUCUUUCUUUAGAAUGAAUCACA
This 268-nucleotide unclassified non-coding RNA is filed under the name Hevea brasiliensis (rubber tree). Lineage: Eukaryota; Viridiplantae; Streptophyta; Magnoliopsida; Malpighiales; Euphorbiaceae. The record is from RNAcentral.